GGCUAAGUAACUAUAAUUGAUACUAAAAACUAUCUUGUUUGCGAGUCCAAAUCCUUGAAUUUAAUUUUUCUGAAUAAUGUAGAAAUCGGUUGAUCAAAAAAAAAAAGAAGGAAUAAUGUAGAAAUCUAAUUUUAAUAAUAUAGCUGUAUGAUGAAAAUACAGUUUUAACUAUUAACUAAAACAAAAGGUUUUCUUUGGUCGUUACGAAAUUACAAGAGUUAUACUUAUCAAGUCUAUAAAGAAAAGAAAAAAAUAAAUAUAUAUGUAUUUUACAAGCAAAUAUUAUGAAAACCAUUAAAUCCUUUUUGAUGAAUUUGUAAUAAAGAAUUAAUUUCAACGAAAUUUUCGAGAAAAAAAAUUUAUCUUAUAUAUUAAAACAGAAGUC
This 385-nucleotide long non-coding RNA is filed under the name Brassica napus (rape). RNAcentral describes it as "long non-coding RNA (BNAP_LNC019409)". The record is from RNAcentral. Lineage: Eukaryota; Viridiplantae; Streptophyta; Magnoliopsida; Brassicales; Brassicaceae.